This 67-nucleotide transfer RNA is filed under the name Marmota monax (woodchuck). RNAcentral's name for it is "tRNA.Ala". The record is from RNAcentral. Lineage: Eukaryota; Metazoa; Chordata; Mammalia; Rodentia; Sciuridae.
GGAUUGUGGCUCAGUGGUAGAGUACUUGCCUAGCAUGUGUGAGGCACUGGAUUCAAUCCCAGCACCA